RNAcentral lists this ribosomal RNA (421 nucleotides) under uncultured archaeon. RNAcentral's name for it is "partial 16S ribosomal RNA". It matches the Rfam family "Archaeal small subunit ribosomal RNA", at positions 323 to 746 of the family's 1478-position model. The record is from RNAcentral.
CUACGGGCGGCUGCAGUUAGGAAUAAUCUACAAUGCGCGAAAGCGUGAUAGUUUGAGCCAGAGUGCUUUUCAUUUGAAAAGCUUUUGUGAAAUGUAAAAAGUUUCACGAAUAAGGACUGGGUAAGACUAGUGCCAGCCGCCGCGGUAAUACUAGCGGUCCAAGUCGCAGCCACAUUUAUUGGGUCUAAAACAUCCGUAGCUUGCUUAUUAAGUUUCUUGUGAAAUUUUGUAUCUUAAGUACAGAGCGUGUGAGAAGUACUGAUAAGCUAGAGACUGGAAGACGUAAGAAGUAUGUUCGAAGUAGCGGUAAAAUAUUUUAAUCUCGGACAGACUUACAAUAGCGAAGGCAUCUUACGAGGACAGUUCUGACAGUAAGGGAUGAAGGCUAGGGGCGCAAAACGGAUUAGAUACCCUGGUAGUC